GUUGGAAACGACUGCUAAUACCGCAUAAGCGCACGGUAUCGCAUGAUACAGUGUGAAAAACUCCGGUGGUAUAAGAUGGACCCGCGUCUGAUUAGCUAGUUGGUGAGGUAAGGCCCACCAAGGCGACGAUCAGUAGCCGGCCUGAGAGGGUGAACGGCCACAUUGGGACUGAGACACGGCCCAAACUCCUACGGGAGGCAGCAGUGGGGAAUAUUGCACAAUGGGGGAAACCCUGAUGCAGCGACGCCGCGUGAGUGAUGAAGUAUUCGGUAUGUAAAACUCUAUCAGCAGGGAAGAUAAUGACGGUACCUGACUAAGAAGCACCGGCUAAAUACGUG
RNAcentral lists this ribosomal RNA (338 nucleotides) under uncultured bacterium. RNAcentral's name for it is "bacterial SSU rRNA". It matches the Rfam family "Bacterial small subunit ribosomal RNA", at positions 149 to 507 of the family's 1533-position model. The record is from RNAcentral.